This 29-nucleotide small RNA is filed under the name Bombyx mori (domestic silkworm). RNAcentral describes it as "ovarian small RNA-9339". The record is from RNAcentral. Lineage: Eukaryota; Metazoa; Arthropoda; Insecta; Lepidoptera; Bombycidae.
UUACCUCCUCGAAGCAGGGGUCGCCCUCC